This 460-nucleotide ribosomal RNA is filed under the name uncultured bacterium. RNAcentral's name for it is "partial 16S ribosomal RNA". It matches the Rfam family "Bacterial small subunit ribosomal RNA", at positions 338 to 795 of the family's 1533-position model. The record is from RNAcentral.
CCUACGGGGGGCAGCAGUGAGGAAUAUUGGUCAAUGGACGAGAGUCUGAACCAGCCAAGUAGCGUGAAGGAUGACUGCCCUAUGGGUUGUAAACUUCUUUUAUAUGGGAAUAAAAUGUUCCACGUGUGGGAUUUUGUAUGUACCAUAUGAAUAAGGAUCGGCUAACUCCGUGCCAGCAGCCGCGGUAAGACGGAGGAUCCGAGCGUUAUCCGGAUUUAUUGGGUUUAAGGGGAGCGUAGGUGGAUUGUUAAGUCAGUUGUGAAAGUUUGCGGCUCAACCGUAAAAUUGCAGUUGAAACUGGCAGUCUUGAGUACAGGAGAGGUGGGCGGAAUUCGUGGUGUAGCGGUGAAAUGCUUAGAUAUCACGAAGAACUCCGAUUGCGAAGGCAGUUCACUGGACUGCAACUGACACUGAGGCUCGAAAGUGUGGGUAUCAAACAGGAUUAGAUACCCGUAUAGUC